Molecule: ribosomal RNA, 735 nt
Filed under: Streptococcus sp. HFH0039
Lineage: Bacteria; Bacillati; Bacillota; Bacilli; Lactobacillales; Streptococcaceae
Description: bacterial SSU rRNA
Rfam family: Bacterial small subunit ribosomal RNA
Source: RNAcentral
GAGCUUGCUCUUCUUGGAUGAGUUGCGAACGGGUGAGUAACGCGUAGGUAACCUGCCUUGUAGCGGGGGAUAACUAUUGGAAACGAUAGCUAAUACCGCAUAACAAUGGGUGACACAUGUCAUUUAUUUGAAAGGGGCAAUUGCUCCACUACAAGAUGGACCUGCGUUGUAUUAGCUAGUAGGUGAGGUAACGGCUCACCUAGGCGACGAUACAUAGCCGACCUGAGAGGGUGAUCGGCCACACUGGGACUGAGACACGGCCCAGACUCCUACGGGAGGCAGCAGUAGGGAAUCUUCGGCAAUGGGGGCAACCCUGACCGAGCAACGCCGCGUGAGUGAAGAAGGUUUUCGGAUCGUAAAGCUCUGUUGUAAGUCAAGAACGAGUGUGAGAGUGGAAAGUUCACACUGUGACGGUAGCUUACCAGAAAGGGACGGCUAACUACGUGCCAGCAGCCGCGGUAAUACGUAGGUCCCGAGCGUUGUCCGGAUUUAUUGGGCGUAAAGCGAGCGCAGGCGGUUUGAUAAGUCUGAAGUUAAAGGCUGUGGCUCAACCAUAGUUCGCUUUGGAAACUGUCAAACUUGAGUGCAGAAGGGGAGAGUGGAAUUCCAUGUGUAGCGGUGAAAUGCGUAGAUAUAUGGAGGAACACCGGUGGCGAAAGCGGCUCUCUGGUCUGUAACUGACGCUGAGGCUCGAAAGCGUGGGGAGCGAACAGGAUUAGAUACCCUGGUAGUCCA